RNAcentral lists this ribosomal RNA (253 nucleotides) under uncultured bacterium. Its description in RNAcentral is "partial 16S ribosomal RNA". It matches the Rfam family "Bacterial small subunit ribosomal RNA", at positions 524 to 776 of the family's 1533-position model. The record is from RNAcentral.
UACGGAGGGUGCGAGCGUUGUCCGGAAUCACUGGGCGUAAAGGGCGCGUAGGUGGCGCGGGCAGUCAACGGUGAAAGUUCGGGGCUCAACCCUGAAUCGGCCGUCGAUACUCCCGGGCUUGAGCACUGUAGAGGCAGAUGGAAUUCCGGGUGUAGCGGUGGAAUGCGUAGAGACCCGGAGGAACACCAGUGGCGAAGGCGGCAUCCUGGUCUGCGACUGACGCUGAGGCGCGAAAGCGAGGGGAGCGAACGGG